UACGUAGGUGGCAAGCGUUAUCCGGAUUUGUUGGGUGUAAAGGGCGUGUAGGCGGGAGCGCAAGUCAGAUGUGAAAACUCAGGGCUCAACCCUGAGCCUGCAUUUGAAACUGUGUUUCUUGAGUGCUGGAGAGGCAAUCGGAAUUCCGUGUGUAGCGGUGAAAUGCGUAGAUAUACGGAGGAACACCAGUGGCGAAGGCGGAUUGCUGGACAGUAACUGACGCUGAGGCGCGAAAGCGUGGGUAGCAAACAGG
Molecule: ribosomal RNA, 253 nt
Filed under: uncultured bacterium
Lineage: Bacteria
Description: partial 16S ribosomal RNA
Rfam family: Bacterial small subunit ribosomal RNA
Source: RNAcentral